GCCACGGUGGCGGAAUAGGUAGACGCGCAAGACUUAAAAUCAUGUGAAGGUAAUUCUUCGUGUGGGUUCGAUUCCCGCCCGUGGCA
Molecule: transfer RNA, 86 nt
Filed under: Candidatus Beckwithbacteria bacterium
Lineage: Bacteria; Candidatus Beckwithiibacteriota
Description: tRNA-Leu
Rfam family: tRNA
About the family: Transfer RNA (tRNA) molecules are approximately 80 nucleotides in length. Their secondary structure includes four short double-helical elements and three loops (D, anti-codon, and T loops).
Source: RNAcentral